Molecule: transfer RNA, 74 nt
Filed under: Patescibacteria group bacterium
Lineage: Bacteria
Description: tRNA-Met
Rfam family: tRNA
About the family: Transfer RNA (tRNA) molecules are approximately 80 nucleotides in length.
Source: RNAcentral
GUCGACGUAGCUUAGUUGGUUAAAGCGGGCGUCUCAUACGCGCCAGAUCAAUGGUUCGAAUCCAUUCGUCGACA